UAAGGAAUAUUGGACAAUGGAGGCAACUCUGAUCCAGCCAUGCCGCGUGAAGGAAUAAGGCCCUAUGGGUUGUAAACUUCUUUUAGACGGGACAAAACCCCUUUACGUGUAAAGGGUUGAUGGUACUGUCAGAAUAAGCAUCGGCUAACUUCGUGCCAGCAGCCGCGGUAAUACGAAGGAUGCAAGCGUUAUCCGGAAUUAUUGGGUUUAAAGGGUUCGUAGGCGGACUAAUAAGUCAGUGGUGAAAGCCUGCAGCUUAACUGCAGAAUUGCCAUUGAUACUGUUAGUCUUGAGUACAGUUGAGGUAGGCGGAAUGUGUCAUGUAGCGGUGAAAUGCUUAGAUAUGACACAGAACACCGAUUGCGAAGGCAGCUUGCUAAGCUGUAACUGACGCUGAGGCACGAAAGCGUGGGGAGCAAACA
Molecule: ribosomal RNA, 422 nt
Filed under: uncultured bacterium
Lineage: Bacteria
Description: bacterial SSU rRNA
Rfam family: Bacterial small subunit ribosomal RNA
Source: RNAcentral